CGUAGGAAGCAAGCGUUAUCCGGAUUUACUGGGCGUAAAGGGCAGGCAGGCGGUUGGUUAAGUCUUACUUGAAAGCUCCCGGCUCAACUGGGAGAGGUGGUAGGAAACUGGCGAACUAGAGGAUGGUAGAGGAGAGUGGAAUUCCCGGUGUAGUGGUGAAAUGCGUAGAUAUCGGGAGGAACACCAGUGGCGAAAGCGGCUCUCUGGGCCAUUACUGACGCUCAACUGCGAAAGCCAGGGGAGAGAACGGGAUUAGAAACCCCGGUAUUCCUGGCCGUAAACGAUGUUAACUCGGCGUCACGGGUGUCAAAGCCUGUGGUGCUCCAGCCAACGCGAUAAGUUAACCGCCUGGGGAGUACGGCCGCAAGGCUA
RNAcentral lists this ribosomal RNA (372 nucleotides) under uncultured organism. RNAcentral describes it as "bacterial SSU rRNA". It matches the Rfam family "Bacterial small subunit ribosomal RNA", at positions 526 to 896 of the family's 1533-position model. The record is from RNAcentral.